RNAcentral lists this ribosomal RNA (392 nucleotides) under uncultured bacterium. RNAcentral's name for it is "partial 16S ribosomal RNA". It matches the Rfam family "Bacterial small subunit ribosomal RNA", at positions 523 to 918 of the family's 1533-position model. The record is from RNAcentral.
AUACGGAAGGUCCGGGCGUUAUCCGGAUUUAUUGGAUUUAAAGGGAGCGCAGGCGGAGAUGCAAGCGUGACGUCAAAUUUCGGGGCUCAACCCCGUCUCGCGUCGCGAACUGCGUCCCUUGGUUGCGGGAAGGGGAGGCGGAACUCGUGGUGUAGCGGUGAAAUGCAUAGAUAUCACGAAGAACACCGAUUGCGUAGGCAGCUGACCAGACCGCAAAGGACGCUCAUGCACGAAAGUGCGGGGAUCGAACAGGAUUAGAUGCCCUGGUAGUCCGCACAGUAAACGAUGAAUACUUGUUUUCGGCGAUAUAAUGUCGGAGGCAAAGCGAAAGCGAUGAGUAUUCCACCGGGGGAGUACGCCGGCAACGGUGAAACUCAGAGGAAUUGACGGGG